This 253-nucleotide ribosomal RNA is filed under the name uncultured bacterium. RNAcentral's name for it is "partial 16S ribosomal RNA". It matches the Rfam family "Bacterial small subunit ribosomal RNA", at positions 524 to 776 of the family's 1533-position model. The record is from RNAcentral.
UACGUAGGGUCCGAGCGUUGUCCGGAAUUACUGGGCGUAAAGAGCUCGUAGGUGGUUUGUCGCGUUGUUCGUGAAAACUCACAGCUCAACUGUGGGCGUGCGGGCGAUACGGGCAGACUGGAGUACUGCAGGGGAGACUGGAAUUCCUGGUGUAGCGGUGGAAUGCGCAGAUAUCAGGAGGAACACCGGUGGCGAAGGCGGGUCUCUGGGCCGAAAUUGACGCUGAGGAGCGAAAGCGUGGGGAGCGAACGGG